AGAGUUUGAUCAUGGCUCAGAUUGAACGCUGGCGGCAGGCCUAACACAUGCAAGUCGAGCGGAUGGGAAGAGCUUGCUCUUCGAUUCAGCGGCGGACGGGUGAGUAAUGCCUAGGAAUCUGCCUGGUAGUGGGGGACAACGUUUCGAAAGGAACGCUAAUACCGCAUACGUCCUACGGGAGAAAGCAGGGGACCUUCGGGCCUUGCGCUAUCAGAUGAGCCUAGGUCGGAUUAGCUAGUUGGUGAGGUAAUGGCUCACCAAGGCGACGAUCCGUAACUGGUCUGAGAGGAUGAUCAGUCACACUGGAACUGAGACACGGUCCAGACUCCUACGGGAGGCAGCAGUGGGGAAUAUUGGACAAUGGGCGAAAGCCUGAUCCAGCCAUGCCGCGUGUGUGAAGAAGGUCUUCGGAUUGUAAAGCACUUUAAGUUGGGAGGAAGGGCAUUAACCUAAUACGUUAGUGUUUUGACGUUACCGACAGAAUAAGCACCGGCUAACUCUGUGCCAGCAGCCGCGGUAAUACAGAGGGUGCAAGCGUUAAUCGGAAUUACUGGGCGUAAAGCGCGCGUAGGUGGUUUGUUAAGUUGGAUGUGAAAGCCCCGGGCUCAACCUGGGAACUGCAUCCAAAACUGGCAAGCUAGAGUACGGUAGAGGGUGGUGGAAUUUCCUGUGUAGCGGUGAAAUGCGUAGAUAUAGGAAGGAACACCAGUGGCGAAGGCGACCACCUGGACUGAUACUGACACUGAGGUGCGAAGCGUGGGGAGCAAACAGGAUUAGAUACCCUGGUAGUCCACGCCGUA
This 800-nucleotide ribosomal RNA is filed under the name uncultured bacterium. RNAcentral describes it as "bacterial SSU rRNA". It matches the Rfam family "Bacterial small subunit ribosomal RNA", at positions 8 to 804 of the family's 1533-position model. The record is from RNAcentral.